This 1426-nucleotide long non-coding RNA is filed under the name Manihot esculenta (cassava). RNAcentral describes it as "long non-coding RNA (MESC_LNC008606)". Lineage: Eukaryota; Viridiplantae; Streptophyta; Magnoliopsida; Malpighiales; Euphorbiaceae. The record is from RNAcentral.
UCAUGUCCACAAUUUAACUAUUACUAAGACAUACUUCAAAACUCUGGCUAACCUCCUGGUCUACCCUGUACCUGCACAUCUGGGGUUAGGGGAGAGGGGUGAGCUACAAAGCCCAGUGAGCAGAACAGUGAAAACAUAUAUUAAAAUUUCAUGCUUUCAUGAAAUGCAACACAUCACAACAAAUCACAUCUCGGAUGGUAUUGUCACCUAUAGUCCUCUACAUAGUCCAACUGUGCCGGGACGUAGAAUGGGUACAACCGGUCUUUCUCUUAACAUAACAUAUCAUACAGUCCAACUGUAACGACCCGAAAAUCGGACCGCUACCGGCGCUAGGAUCCGGGUCGACUUAAGGCCGCCGGGACCCGUAGCAAGCCAAACAUACAUCCUGAAAACCUGUUUAAUCCCAUACAUGAUCAAGAACAUACAUAAAAAUUUAAACUUUUCUUUCAUUCAUCCAACUCAACCUGAACAUACAUGUACAUAGUCAUGAUCAUAAUCAUGAUCCCUCUGUGGGAUCUCAUCAAUGCCCCAACGGGCGAUACCACAUGAGAUGAGUUGGCUUAAACAUAAACAUUAUAAAACAUUUCUAUAGAUCAUGUAUCAAAGGGAUUACAAUACUCAUAGGGUCAAGCACAUCUAUAACCUCAAUAUACCUCAUUACAUAACAUACUGUAAUCUCUUACAUUACAUCAUAAUACAUCUGUCAUGUCCACAAUCUAACUAUUACAACAUAAGACAUACUUCAAACUCUGGCUAACCUCCUGGUCUACCCUGUACCUGCACAUCUGGGGUUAGGGGAGAGGGGUGAGCUACAAAGCCCAGUGAGCAGAAUAGUAGAAAACAAUAUGUUAAAAUUUCAUGCUUUCAUGGAAUGCAACACAUCACAACAAAUCACAUCUCGGAUGGUAUUGUCACCUAUAGUCCUCUACAUAGUCCAACUGUGCCGGGACGUAGAAUGGGUACAACCGGUCUUUCCCUUAACAUGUCAUAUCAUACAGUCCAACUGUGCCAGGGACGUAGAAUGGGUACAACCUGGACUUUCUCUUACAUCGUGCCAGGGACGUAGAAUGGGUACAACCUGGACUUCCAUACCAUAUCAUGCCAUAACAUCAUCAUAUCAUAUGAGGACUAAAGGAUCAUUCAAUAACCAAUCCACAUCAACAUCAUAAAUGCAAUGCAACAUAUUCGUGAAUACUAAUGCAGCAACCUACUAUAUCUCAUGGCAUUCAUGAUGCAUGGAUCAUGCUCAAAAUUCAUAUUUCAUUUAUUUUAAAACUUAAGGUUUAUUCCACUCACCUCUGGCUAGCUCUGACAAACUCUGUAGCAGCUGGCUCACUGCUGGGGUCCUCGGUUCCUCGGGUCCGAACCUACACGGGUGGACUCCAAUGAGGGACCAAACAUACAUAAACAUAACUCUAAUAUACUC